UACGUAGGGGGCAAGCGUUGUCCGGAAUCAUUGGGCGUAAAGCGCGUGUAGGCGGCUCGGUAAGUCUGCUGUGAAAGUCCAGGGCUCAACCCUGGGAUGCCGGUGGAUACUGUCGAGCUCGAGUCCGGAAGAGGCGAGUGGAAUUCCUGGUGUAGCGGUGAAAUGCGCAGAUAUCAGGAGGAACACCAAUGGCGAAGGCGGGUCUCUGGGCAAUUCCUGACGCUGAGGCGCGAAAGCGUGGGGAGCAAACGGG
This 253-nucleotide ribosomal RNA is filed under the name uncultured bacterium. RNAcentral describes it as "partial 16S ribosomal RNA". It matches the Rfam family "Bacterial small subunit ribosomal RNA", at positions 524 to 776 of the family's 1533-position model. The record is from RNAcentral.